RNAcentral lists this transfer RNA (65 nucleotides) under Cobelura sp. KM-2017. RNAcentral's name for it is "tRNA-Tyr". Lineage: Eukaryota; Metazoa; Arthropoda; Insecta; Coleoptera; Cerambycidae. The record is from RNAcentral.
GAUUGAAUGGCUGAUAACAGGCAAUAAAUUGUAAAUUUAUUUAUGAAAUUUUUUUUCUUCAAUCA